Triticum dicoccoides is the source of this 2575-nucleotide long non-coding RNA. RefSeq lists it as uncharacterized. NCBI's taxonomy places the organism in Eukaryota, Viridiplantae, Streptophyta, Magnoliopsida, Poales, Poaceae. The transcript is spliced from 2 exons. The record is from RefSeq and is a predicted model, not a curated record.
CUCCGCUCCUCUCGCUCUCCAAUGUCCACGUGAUGCCGCCUAGAUCGGAGGAAUCAGAGGUCACCGCUCCGCCAUGUUCCGUUCACGAGCCGAAACAACAAGCACCAAUGGCCGCUCCACAGCCGGAGGUCAACAGAGGUGCCGCAUGAACGACAGCGAAGCUGAAGGCCGCCAGCGCCGGCCGACCCGGUGUGAGAGGAAACAGGCAGGUUCUCGGGGACAUCCGCAACGUCGUCCACGCCCCACGUCCUCGACGAGUGAGAAAAUCAGCACAAUGAUCGAAUACUCGACCGGUUCCACACCACCGGGUGCGCUCCCUUCACAAGGAUCGAACCUCGCGGCGGCGGGAGGCGGUGGUAGACUCCGUCGUCGUGGUCCGCUUGCCUCAUCGUCCGAUCCCAUUCGCUUCAAGGUCACUGCGUCCGGCCGUCGGUCCCCCGCGAUCAACAUCACCCACGUCCUCACCCACGCGCGCGGGGUUCAACAUGCCGCUCGAGGCCGACAAGCGCGGCACCGGCAUCACCAUCUUCGUCCCCAUCGACGAUGCCUUCGCCGGCCUCCCUCCCCGUGUCGCGAUUCCACGUGAUGCACUCCUACUACCGGCUCGGCUCCCUCGAGUCCAUCAAGAACCCCGUCCAGCCCAUGUUUGCCAUCGAGUGCACCGAGGUCGACUGCUUUGUGCCUCCGUCGAUGUGUCUUCUAGUUCUAGGUGGAGCAAACAUAAAUGACAGGGUCGAUGGCGACGGAGCCAUUGAAUCGUGUGAUGUUGAGCCUAAAGCAGCUGGACUCUGCAAUCGUGACGUUGGACGCUGCAGAAGAGAAGACCGCAUAGCCGGAGUUUGAGAUGCAGAGGAGAGGACGUCAUAGCCGGCGUUCGAGAUGAAGAAGGUGGGAACCACAUCAUCACUGCAAUGUUGUGCUAUUUACGAUUUGCAGGUUGAUGAAGCUCCCAGGUGAUUGGUAAUGCAUGCCAAUUACUAUUUGCAGGUUAGGUACGACUUUCACUAAUUGUAAUAGAAAUGGUAAUAGUUUUAAGCAGGAGUUGAAGCUACCUUUUGGUUGUCAGUUUAAAUUUUACUAAUCUGUAACUGAAAUUGCAACUACUGUAUUAGGUGACAGCUCGUGAGAGACGGGUCGACAAUGGAUUGAUUAGUGUUACCAUCCUUUGGUUCUGAAGCAAUUCGUGAGGCAUCUCUGACCAGAACAAUCUGGUGCCUACCGAGAUGCCAUGUUACUAGACAAGUAUAAACACUGGGAUUAUCUCCAGUCAUGUGUUGCAGCUUCUACCAUGCUCCACCCAACCAAAAUUAGUCAUGUUACUAGGCAAGUAUAAACACUGUGAUUAUCUACAUUUGUUGCAGCUUCUACCAUGUUCCAGUGAACCAAAAUGAGCACAGUCAUUAAUGGAUGAUACUUUUAUAGAUCAAUAAUUUAUGUCCUUGGUUGUGCACUGAUUUAGUCAUAUUUUAUUUUCUAAUGGCAAUUCAUCCCAACUUUUCAGCUGAGCCCCACUGCAUUUUUAUCCCAAAUAUCCAUCAUCGAUUAUUUUGUCCAAAGAUUUAUUGCAUUUAUGGGAAAAAUCACUCCAUUUUAAUUCUAUUAACCAUAGAUUAAUCCACUUCAAUUAGUAACAACAUCCUAAGCUAAAAUUGUUGCGGUUUGGUCUGAGACUAGAGUCCCAUUUUUUGUCCACAAUGGAUUCAUUGAUCAUUACUUCUGUUCCACAGUUUCAGGUAAUUAUUUGGCAAUGCAAAAUGAGUAUGUUUGUCAUGUUGACCUGGCUUCCAUUUCUCACAUUGUUGUCUUUGACAACAUAUUUGGACGCUGCAUGAAUAUACAAGUGAUGGUCAGAGUAAUUGUUGUGGAGAAAUAGAAUUGCAUUGGUUUUUCUGUGUCCAAACCCUCUUAUUACAUUUGGUGAUAUUUUAGAAUGAUGGGUAAAAUGUAGCUCUGAUUAGUUCCGGGUUUUAGAAUUGAUAUUUAUAAUAUGCAUAUUUCAUUUUUUACAUUUAAAUUGGCAUGUGACAUAUAUAUACAAAAUCAUGUUCUGCUACUUAUAAGUCAUGACUUGAUUUUAGGUUGUGUCUUCCUUUGUUUCACAACACUUUGAACUUUGUGGCAUUACUUCAUUUAUUAGGUUGAUGUACUAUUCUCUUCUUAAUAUAUCUAUACACGGAGUUCUCCUCCAUGUUCUUGGAAAAAAGGAAACGUGCUUUCGCUGCAUUCGAGAAUUGCAUUUUAAAAUAAACUUUCAACCAUUAUUUUUAAGCAGAAAUUCAGUGAUCUAUAUGCAAACAAUUUCUCUGUUUUUAAUAAUCUUGCAGGAUAUCAGAGAACAGAUGGCACAUUGGCCACAUCCCCAGUAAAUGUUUCAAUCAUACUAAAUCGUCAAUGGUUUCUAAUUUCGGAUAUUGAAAAAUGCUACUAUCUCAUGUAAUAUAAGAGUAUUGAUUAACCCAUUUUCUGUUUCUAAGCUAUCUAUAUUUUCCUUAGCUAUUUUGAUGUUAUGCUUGGCAAAGAAGAUUGUUUCAAAACAGAGAGUUGUGCUUUCGAAGUUAUUUGUAAAGGUAAUUCA